Long non-coding RNA from Ipomoea nil (Japanese morning glory), 846 nucleotides. RefSeq lists it as uncharacterized. The record is from RefSeq and is a predicted model, not a curated record. The transcript is spliced from 3 exons. NCBI's taxonomy places the organism in Eukaryota, Viridiplantae, Streptophyta, Magnoliopsida, Solanales, Convolvulaceae.
UUCAUUCCUCCCAUCAAAGUGAAUUCCCACUCUCUCUCUUCAAUUUCCAUAUUCUCUUAACUCUCUCUAAGUUCAACUCUACUUGGAAAGUUUGAGCUGCACUCUCGUGUACUCUACUCGGAAAUAUCAAGUACACACUCUCUCUAAAUUCAACCUAGAAAGUUCACUACAGAUAUGAGUAGUUGAAGCCCUAAUCCAUCACCAUUUCUUCCUUCCUCUCUGUAACACAAGUAUUUCAGAUCCUCUCACCUCUCUUCAUUUUUCACUCUCGAAAGUUCAUUUAAGCUUUCCAUUUUAGAGCAUAAACCCAUCUUUUAGUGAGCUACUUGGACGCUGUACACUCUUGUUGGGUCGGUGCGAAAUGUAGAAUAAUCUCCAUCCUCGAAUCUACUCGGCAAGGUUGAUGAAUCCUCUACAGUGUUCUCCCUUCUCACUGUACCCUCUGGCUAAAUCGGUUAAGAGAAUGGACAACCAUGUUGUGUUAAAGAUCUUAUGAUGGAUCAGCCAAGAAGAUUGCUAUGGAUCCAUAGGGAUUUCAUAUGUUCGAACAAACCUUAGCUUGAUGGCAUUGGAAGUUCUCUUAGGUGCAAGGUAGCUGGCCGUGACAAACAGAGGAGCCAUGAUAUGAUACUUGUAGUUCUGAUGCUGCGUAAUCUUUGAAUUUGCAUUGGAUGUAAUUUCUUCUUCUUUCCAUCGGUUUUUAUAGAUCUUGUGUUGACUGUUCAUUCUAGGGUUUGGGAAUGGGAAUUCAUAAAUGUCCCAGUCGAAAGGUUGUAAGCUUAUAAUUAAUAGUGUAAUAAUUAUCAGAUCGCUACAAUUCGUAAAAGCAGUUACCUUAUGCGCCAA